GCCGAAGUGGCGCAAGCGGUAGACGCACAGAGCUUAAACCUCUGCGAUUUGCGGGUUCGACUCCCGCCUUCGGCA
RNAcentral lists this transfer RNA (75 nucleotides) under Acidobacteriota bacterium. Its description in RNAcentral is "Acidobacteria bacterium (bioreactor metagenome) tRNA-Leu". It matches the Rfam family "tRNA". From Rfam's summary of the family: Transfer RNA (tRNA) molecules are approximately 80 nucleotides in length. Their secondary structure includes four short double-helical elements and three loops (D, anti-codon, and T loops). Lineage: Bacteria; Pseudomonadati; Acidobacteriota. The record is from RNAcentral.